RNAcentral lists this ribosomal RNA (523 nucleotides) under uncultured bacterium. Its description in RNAcentral is "bacterial SSU rRNA". It matches the Rfam family "Bacterial small subunit ribosomal RNA", at positions 24 to 518 of the family's 1533-position model. The record is from RNAcentral.
UCAGGACGAACGCUGCGGCGUGCCUAAUACAUGCAAGUCGAACGGUCUUUCUAUGGAAGCUUGCUUCCACUGAGAAGAUAGUGGCGAACGGGUGAGUAACACGUGGGUAACCUGCCCAUAAGAGGGGGGAUAACAUCCGGAAACGGGUGCUAAUACCGCAUAGUUUUCUUGAUCGCAUGAUCGGGAAAGGAAAGACGGCCUUUGUGCUGUCGCUUAUGGAUGGACCCGCGGCGUAUUAGUUAGUUGGUGAGGUAACGGCUCACCAAGACGAUGAUACGUAGCCGACCUGAGAGGGUGAUCGGCCACAUUGGGACUGAGACACGGCCCAAACUCCUACGGGAGGCAGCAGUAGGGAAUCUUCCGCAAUGGACGAAAGUCUGACGGAGCAACGCCGCGUGAGUGAAGAAAAGGGUUUUCGGAUCGUAAAACUCUGUUGUCAGAGAAGAACAAGUUGGAGAGUAACUGCUCCAGCCUUGACGGUAUCUGACCAGAAAGCCACGGCUAACUACGUGCCAGCCGCUGC